UACGAAGGGGGCUAGCGUUGUUCGGAAUUACUGGGCGUAAAGCGCGCGUAGGCGGACAUCUAAGUCAGGGGUGAAAUCCCAGGGCUCAACCCUGGAACUGCCUUUGAUACUGGACGUCUGGAGUUCGGGAGAGGUGAGUGGAAUUCCGAGUGUAGAGGUGAAAUUCGUAGAUAUUCGGAGGAACACCAGAAGCGAAGGCGGCUCACUGGCCCGAUACUGACGCUGAGGCGCGAAAGCGUGGGGAGCAAACAGG
RNAcentral lists this ribosomal RNA (253 nucleotides) under uncultured bacterium. RNAcentral describes it as "partial 16S ribosomal RNA". It matches the Rfam family "Bacterial small subunit ribosomal RNA", at positions 524 to 776 of the family's 1533-position model. The record is from RNAcentral.